GACGAACGCUGGCGGCGUGCUUAACACAUGCAAGUCGAGCGGUAAGGCCCUUUCGGGGUACGACGGCGGCGAACGGGUGAGUAACACGUGGGUGACCUGCCCUCAGCUCUGGGAGUAAGCCUGGGAAACCGGGUCUAAUACUGGAUAUGACUCCAUGACGCAUGUUGUGGGGUGGAAAGCCUUGUGCGGCUGAGGAUGGGCCCGCGGCCUAUCAGCUUGUUGGUGGGGUGAGGCCUACCAAGGCGACGACGGGUAGCCGGCCUGAGAGGGCGACCGGCCACACUGGGACUGAGACACGGCCCAGACUCCUACGGGAGGCAGCAGUGGGGAAGUCUUGCGCAAUGGGCGAAAGCCUGACGCAGCGACGCCGCGUGAGGGAU
Molecule: ribosomal RNA, 380 nt
Filed under: uncultured bacterium
Lineage: Bacteria
Description: bacterial SSU rRNA
Rfam family: Bacterial small subunit ribosomal RNA
Source: RNAcentral